AGAGUUUGAUCAUGGCUCAGAUUGAACGCUGGCGGCAUGCCUUACACAUGCAAGUCGAACGGCAGCACGGGAGUAAUCCUGGUGGCGAGUGGCGAACGGGUGAGUAAUAUAUCGGAACGUGCCCAGUCGUGGGGGAUAACGCAGCGAAAGCUGUGCUAAUACCGCAUACGAUCUCUGGAUGAAAGCGGGGGACUCGCAAGAGCCUCGCGCGAUUGGAGCGGCCGAUAUCAGAUUAGCUAGUUGGUGGGGUAAAAGCCCACCAAGGCGACGAUCUGUAGCUGGUCUGAGAGGACGACCAGCCACACUGGAACUGAGACACGGUCCAGACUCCUACGGGAGGCAGCAGUGGGGAAUUUUGGACAAUGGGCGCAAGCCUGAUCCAGCAAUGCCGCGUGCAGGAUGAAGGCCUUCGGGUUGUAAACUGCUUUUGUACGGAACGAAACGGCUCUUUCUAAUAAAGAGGGCUAAUGACGGUACCGUAAGAAUAAGCACCGGCUAACUACGUGCCAGCAGCCGCGGUAAUACGUAGGGUGCGAGCGUUAAUCGGAAUUACUGGGCGUAAAGCGUGCGCAGGCGGUGAUGUAAGACAGAUGUGAAAUCCCUGGGCUCAACCUGGGACCUGCAUUUGUGACUGCAUCGCUAGAGUACGGUAGAGGGGGAUGGAAUUCCGCGUGUAGCAGUGAAAUGCGUAGAUAUGCGGAGGAACACCGAUGGCGAAGCAAUCCCCUGGACCUGUACUGACGCUCAUGCACGAAAGCGUGGGGAGCAAACAGGAUUAGAUACCCUGGUAGUCCACGCCCUAAACGAUGUCAACUGGUUGUUGGGUCUUUACUGACUCAUAACGAAGCUAACGCGUGAAGUUGACCGCCUGGGGAGUACGGCCGCAAGGUUGAACUCAAGGAAUUGAGGAACCCGCA
This 917-nucleotide ribosomal RNA is filed under the name uncultured bacterium. RNAcentral's name for it is "bacterial SSU rRNA". It matches the Rfam family "Bacterial small subunit ribosomal RNA", at positions 8 to 925 of the family's 1533-position model. The record is from RNAcentral.